Solanum pennellii is the source of this 860-nucleotide long non-coding RNA. RefSeq lists it as uncharacterized. The transcript is spliced from 3 exons. The record is from RefSeq and is a predicted model, not a curated record. Lineage: Eukaryota; Viridiplantae; Streptophyta; Magnoliopsida; Solanales; Solanaceae.
AUGUCUUUCACUUUACUCUUUCUCGAGCUUCCACUGAAAUUAUCGACGAACUGAACACGAAGAGCUAAAGGUGAAGAAUUGAUAUCACGAACCCGAAGAUCGAUGAACUGAGCUAAAGGUGAAGAACUGAGCUAGAGAUUUCUUUGAUACUGAAGAUCGAGGAACUGAGAUGAAGCUGAAUAAUUGAAGAAAGACGAACUGAGCUGACGAUGAAGAGCUAAAGCUAAAGAAAUGAAGAGCGGAAGCUGAAGAACUGAAGAUUUGAGCUGAAGAUUUCUCCAAUAUCGGUUUUGUCAAGCGUAAUUACCGAUUUCCUCAAUCUUAAGAUUAAGUAGAAGUGAUUACUUUGGGGUUGUUACAACUGAACUUCCAAAGUAGGAGUAGAAAGUGUCGUAAAUCUCAUCAUCCAUUACCUUGGCAUAUUCAGAGGACGAGAAAGAGGGAACUACUACUCGGAAGCCUUUGAAUCGAAAGGUUUGGAUGAUAAUGACAUGUUCUUGGAGGUAAUUUUAUGGUGGAAUUAUUUCAUAUAAAUAAGAACAAUUGAAUUCUAACUAUUUCUUUGUUACUUGAAUUCCAAAUUUUUUUAUCGCUUCACUAUUUUUCUUGUUUGAUCUUCAAUGGAUGUAAGAUUGAGUCCUCGUAAUGGAUGACGGAGAUAAAAAUCUUUUCCUUCUCCGACGAGCAUUUGUAUAAAUGCUCAUGUAUUUAUGACACAACUUGUGCCUGUGAAUCUUUUUGAAUUUUUUUUAUUUUACCUUAUAUUUUUGUAAUGAUAUGGUGCUGUCAUCGGAGUCCACAACAUAUGAAAUUAAUAUUUUAGGGAUUAAUCUAUGAUUUUCCUUCAAAGCAACCAGCAA